GACGAACGCUGGCGGCGUGCCUAAUACAUGCAAGUCGAGCGGAGUUCAUCGGGAGCUUGCUUCGGAUGAACUUAGCGGCGGACGGGUGAGUAACACGUAGGCAACCUGCCCGUAAGACUGGGAUAACUACCGGAAACGGUAGCUAAUACCGGAUACGCAAGUUUCUCGCAUGAGGGGCUUGGGAAAGGCGGAGCAAUCUGUCACUUACGGAUGGGCCUGCGGCGCAUUAGCUAGUAGGUAGGGUAACGGCCUACCUAGGCGACGAUGCGUAGCCGACCUGAGAGGGUGAACGGCCACACUGGGACUGAGACACGGCCCAG
This 320-nucleotide ribosomal RNA is filed under the name uncultured Paenibacillus sp. RNAcentral's name for it is "bacterial SSU rRNA". It matches the Rfam family "Bacterial small subunit ribosomal RNA", at positions 28 to 334 of the family's 1533-position model. The record is from RNAcentral. Lineage: Bacteria; Bacillati; Bacillota; Bacilli; Caryophanales; Paenibacillaceae.